AUGUUAUCACGAAAGGCAGAGGGAAUAGACCCGUUGAAGCCUUAGCAACCCUUUACACUUAAAGAAGGUGCUAAAUUCUACUACGCACAUGCGCAGAUAGAUAACUC
RNAcentral lists this non-coding RNA (107 nucleotides) under Flavobacterium rivuli. RNAcentral's name for it is "SAM-I sequence". It matches the Rfam family "SAM riboswitch aptamer (S box leader)". From Rfam's summary of the family: The SAM riboswitch is found upstream of a number of genes which code for proteins involved in methionine or cysteine biosynthesis in Gram-positive bacteria. RNAcentral also lists the same sequence under 1 other name. The record is from RNAcentral. Lineage: Bacteria; Pseudomonadati; Bacteroidota; Flavobacteriia; Flavobacteriales; Flavobacteriaceae.